Long non-coding RNA from Grammomys surdaster, 305 nucleotides. RefSeq lists it as uncharacterized. The transcript is spliced from 3 exons. The record is from RefSeq and is a predicted model, not a curated record. NCBI's taxonomy places the organism in Eukaryota, Metazoa, Chordata, Mammalia, Rodentia, Muridae.
GCAGCCAGUUCUCUGCAGCUCCCAAAAUGUGUACUUGGAGGCCUGGCUAUAAUGAGUCUUGGCACGGAGAGGUCUCCGAAGAACCAGCCUCCAUGAUGUGAACAAACCUCCUCACCCUGACAUCCUGCUCUCCCGCUGACCCAAAGUAGCAGCUGAGCUAAGCAAUGAUGGGUGGAAGACUCUGAAACCAUGGGUUCUCAUAACCUUUCCUCUUUAUAAGGAUGAGCAAAGUGGUGAGAUUGUGACUCUGGCUGCUCAGCCCAAGCUCCCAUAUCCAUCCCAAGGCACAGAAGAGAAGAUGAAAA